Molecule: long non-coding RNA, 392 nt
Filed under: Homo sapiens (human)
Lineage: Eukaryota; Metazoa; Chordata; Mammalia; Primates; Hominidae
Description: HSALNT0296768
Source: RNAcentral
GCCUGGGGGACAGAGCAAGACUCUGUCUCAAAAGAAAAAAAAAUGAAAUAAAUAAUAUUAGAAAAGCUCUUAGCCCAGAACCCUCAGUGCCCAGUAGAUGCUCUUCGGAAAAGGCCCUAAGAAGCCAUCAAAGAUAUGUCAUGGAGGAAGCCAUCGAAGAGGAAAGAGGAAGCUUUGUAACAGUUUACCUGGGAGGAAUAACAAGCUGCCAUAUGAAUACUGAUGAGAAAGGAGGUGGGAGAGACAUUUGAUCAUCAAUCAAGUUAUGAUUAUGAACACUCAGUUAAGAAAGAAAUGUGAAGUCAGUGUUCCUGAACAUGAAGAACAAGACCAGGGGUUGGGUUUUGGAGUCACACGGACUUUUUUUGUUCCAGCUCAUUUGUCUUUUUACC